This is a non-coding RNA of Acanthosepion pharaonis, 105 nucleotides long. The record is from the annotation of a GenBank genome assembly. Lineage: Eukaryota; Metazoa; Mollusca; Cephalopoda; Sepiida; Sepiidae.
GGCCUUUUCACAUUGAAAUACUAGGUCUUGUACGAUCACCAAAGUUAAGCAACAUCAUGCCUGGAUAGUACUGAGAUGAGUGACCACUUGGAAAUACCAAGUGCU